This 445-nucleotide ribosomal RNA is filed under the name uncultured bacterium. Its description in RNAcentral is "partial 16S ribosomal RNA". It matches the Rfam family "Bacterial small subunit ribosomal RNA", at positions 354 to 796 of the family's 1533-position model. The record is from RNAcentral.
GUAAGGAAUAUUGGACAAUGGACGCAAGUCUGAUCCAGCCAUGCCGCGUGAAGGAUUAAGGUCCUCUGGAUUGUAAACUUCUUUUAUAAGGGACGAAAAAAGGCUUUUCUAAGUCGUCUGACGGUACCUUAUGAAUAAGCACCGGCUAACUCCGUGCCAGAAGCCGCGGUAAUACGGAGGGUGCAAGCGUUAUCCGGAUUCCCUGGGUUUAAAGGGUGCGUAGGCGGGCAGGUAAGUCAGUGGUGAAAUCCUAGAGCUUAACUCUAGAACUGCCAUUGAUACUAUCUGUCUUGAAUAUUGUGGAGGUAAGCGGAAUAUGUCAUGUAGCGGUGAAAUGCUUAGAUAUGACAUAGAACACCUAUUGCGAAGGCAGCUUACUACGCAUAUAUUGACGCUGAGGCACGAAAGCGUGGGGAUCAAACAGGAUUAGAAACCCGUGUAGUCC